UCUAGUGUAGUCAAAUUGAUGACGUGAGAUUUAAACUCUUGAGGUGUAUUUUAUCUCUAGAA
This 62-nucleotide transfer RNA is filed under the name Proasellus cantabricus. Its description in RNAcentral is "transfert RNA-L2(TTA)". Lineage: Eukaryota; Metazoa; Arthropoda; Malacostraca; Isopoda; Asellidae. The record is from RNAcentral.